This 262-nucleotide unclassified non-coding RNA is filed under the name Hevea brasiliensis (rubber tree). Lineage: Eukaryota; Viridiplantae; Streptophyta; Magnoliopsida; Malpighiales; Euphorbiaceae. The record is from RNAcentral.
AAAAGGGGAGUAAGCAGGUUCAGGUGUAGGAAGGAAAGGGUUAGAAGUUGUUUGGGCAGAGAAAGGGCUGAAUGGGCUGUAAGAGACCGGAGCUUCUGUGGGCUUAUGUAAGUCUGCCUCAACUUGGGCCAACUAUUUUUUCAGCCUUCUUAUCUCCUGUUCCUUUUGGUUGAAUUCUGCACCAAAUCUCCGUUGUUGGAUCAAAGCCUUGAGAUCUCUAUCAAGCUGGGUAAUUUUUCUUUGUAAGUCCUUGUACAUGUUU